RNAcentral lists this ribosomal RNA (330 nucleotides) under uncultured bacterium. Its description in RNAcentral is "bacterial SSU rRNA". It matches the Rfam family "Bacterial small subunit ribosomal RNA", at positions 30 to 341 of the family's 1533-position model. The record is from RNAcentral.
AGUGAACGCUGGCGGCAGGCCUAACACAUGCAAGUCGAGCGGCAGCGGGUCCCCGCGAGGGGAUGCCGGCGAGCGGCGGACGGGUGAGGAACACAUCGGAAUCUGCCUGGUUGUGGGGGAUAACGUAGGGAAACUUACGCUAAUACCGCAUGCGACCCUGAGUCGACGGACUGGGGGUGAAAGUGAGGGACCUUCGGGCCUCACGCGACCAGAUGAGCCGAGUGUCGGAUUAGCUAGUUGGCGGGGUAACGGCCCGCCAAGGCGACGAUCCGUAGCUGGUCUGAGAGGAUGAUCAGCCACACUGGGACUGAGACACGGCCCAGACUCCUA